This 434-nucleotide ribosomal RNA is filed under the name uncultured bacterium. RNAcentral describes it as "partial 16S ribosomal RNA". It matches the Rfam family "Bacterial small subunit ribosomal RNA", at positions 29 to 507 of the family's 1533-position model. The record is from RNAcentral.
AGCGAACGCUGGCGGCAGGCCUAACACAUGCAAGUCGAACGAACCUUUCGGGGUUAGUGGCGGACGGGUGAGUAACACGUGGGAACGUGCCUUUAGGUUCGGAAUAACUUAGGGAAACUUGUGCUAAUACCGAAUGUGCCCUUCGGGGGAAAGAUUUAUCGCCUUUAGAGCGGCCCGCGUCUGAUUAGCUAGUUGGUUGAGGUAAUGGCUCACCAAGGCGACGAUCAGUAGCUGGUCUGAGAGGAUGAUCAGCCACAUUGGGACUGAGACACGGCCCAAACUCCUACGGGAGGCAGCAGUGGGGAAUCUUGCGCAAUGGGCGAAAGCCUGACGCAGCCAUGCCGCGUGAAUGAUGAAGGUCUUAGGAUUGUAAAAUUCUUUCACCGGGGACGAUAAUGACGGUACCCGGAGAAGAAGCCCCGGCUAACUUCGUG